RNAcentral lists this ribosomal RNA (518 nucleotides) under Simulium baltazarae. RNAcentral's name for it is "partial 16S ribosomal RNA". The stretch from base 391 to 518 matches the Rfam family "Bacterial large subunit ribosomal RNA", at positions 2473 to 2601 of the family's 2925-position model. Lineage: Eukaryota; Metazoa; Arthropoda; Insecta; Diptera; Simuliidae. The record is from RNAcentral.
GUCUUUUUGGUUAUUUAAUAUAAAGUCUGACCUGCCCACUGAAUAUAGAUUUAAAUGGCCGCAGUAUUUUGACUGUGCAAAGGUAGCAUAAUCAUUAGUCUUUUAAUUGAAGGCUGGUAUGAAUGGUUGGAUGAGGUACAAGCUGUGUCAUAAAAAUUAAUAUUUGAAUUUACCUUUUUAGUCAAAAGGCUAAAAUUUUAUUAAAAGACGAGAAGACCCUAUAGAGCUUUAUAUAGUUUAUAUUUAAAUUAUUAAUAUUUUUUAAAUUUAAUUAUUUUAUUAUAUUUUGUUGGGGUGACAAUAAAAUUUAUAAAACUUUUAUUAUUAUUAUACAUUAAUUUAUGUUUAAAUGAUCCAGUUUUAUUGAUUAUAAAUUUAAGUUACCUUAGGGAUAACAGCGUAAUUUUUUUUGAGAGUUCUUAUCGACAAAAAAGAUUGCGACCUCGAUGUUGGAUUAAGAGUAAUUUUGGGUGUAGAAGUUCAAAGUUUAAGUCUGUUCGACUUUUAAAUUCUUACAU